CCUACGGGCGGCUGCAGUAGGGAAUUUUCGGCAAUGGGGGAAACCCUGACCGAGCAACGCCGCGUGAGUGAUGAAGGUCUUCGGAUUGUAAAGCUCUGUUAUAAGGGAAGAACGGCAGCUAGAGGAAAUGCUAGCUGUUUGACGGUACUUUAUGAGAAAGCCACGGCUAACUACGUGCCAGCAGCCGCGGUAAUACGUAGGUGGCAAGCGUUAUCCGGAAUUAUUGGGCGUAAAGAGUGAGCAGGCGGCAGUUUAAGUUUGGAGUCAAAGCGAGGGGCUCAACCCCUUAACGCUCUGAAAACUGAACAGCUAGAGUGCGAGAGAGGUAAGUGGAAUUCCAUGUGUAGCGGUGAAAUGCGUAGAUAUAUGGAGGAACACCAGUGGCGAAGGCGACUUACUAGCUCGAUACUGACGCUCAGUCACGAAAGCGUGGGUAGCAAAUAGGAUUAGAUACCCCAGUAGUC
RNAcentral lists this ribosomal RNA (464 nucleotides) under uncultured Erysipelotrichaceae bacterium. Its description in RNAcentral is "bacterial SSU rRNA". It matches the Rfam family "Bacterial small subunit ribosomal RNA", at positions 338 to 795 of the family's 1533-position model. The record is from RNAcentral. Lineage: Bacteria; Bacillati; Bacillota; Erysipelotrichia; Erysipelotrichales; Erysipelotrichaceae.